This 460-nucleotide ribosomal RNA is filed under the name uncultured bacterium. RNAcentral's name for it is "partial 16S ribosomal RNA". It matches the Rfam family "Bacterial small subunit ribosomal RNA", at positions 338 to 795 of the family's 1533-position model. The record is from RNAcentral.
CCUACGGGAGGCAGCAGUGAGGAAUAUUGGUCAAUGGACGAGAGUCUGAACCAGCCAAGUAGCGUGAAGGAUGACUGCCCUAUGGGUUGUAAACUUCUUUUAUAAAGGAAUAAAACGAGGCACGUGUGCCUUUUUGCAUGUACUUUAUGAAUAAGGAUCGGCUAACUCCGUGCCAGCAGCCGCGGUAAUACGGAGGAUCCGAGCGUUAUCCGGAUUUAUUGGGUUUAAAGGGAGCGUAGAUGGGGUGUUAAGUCAGUUGUGAAAGUUUGGGGCUCAACCGUAAAAUUGCAGUUGAUACUGGCAGGCUGGAGAUGUCGAGAGGCAGGCGGAAUGCGCGGUGUAGCGGUGAAAUGCGUAGAUAUUGCGCAGAACUCCGAUUGCGAAGGCAGCAUGCCGGCGGCGAUCUGACGCUGAGGCACGAAAGCGUGGGUAGCGAACAGGAUUAGAUACCCCGGUAGUC